ACAUUUGACCUUGUAUGAGCUUUAGAUUGGUGUUCAGCCUUUUAUAUCAUUUCCAAUCGAUGUGAUAACAACGCUUGCUCUUGAGCAUAAUACACAUGGUAACUAGGCAACCAAAGGUCACUAUCACUUACUACCUAAUGGAGAAAUGUAACCAAAUGAUGGAAACAAAGCAUUGUGGUCAACGAAAUACAUGAUUGAAAUCAGGCCCUUAGUUCAACCAAUUUUUCUAUACAUUUACGUUACACCUUUUGUUUAAUCUUGCCUUAUAUUCAAAUGUAUGUAAAUGACGCAAAAAACAGUUGGGCCUGCUGGGAGAUAUACGGCGUGCGUUCGCAGGUCGCUGUGCUCUGUGCGAGACGUUCCUGGAGACUCACUGCUGUUGGGAGCCUGAGAAGAGUACAGAGAUUUGGGUUACAGACUGCUCAGUGUCUAUGCAGUGUGGCGGCAGCAGAUGGAAACCAGGGUAAUGACACAAACGAUGAAGACACAGCCUCCGCCCACCGAUGCUCCAAUGAUGAUUAGCAAGGGGAGGGCCUCUGCAAGGGAAACAGGGAACGUGACUGAGCUGAAUUCUCAAAAUCUAUUAUUAUAUCUACCUCUUCAGUUGCAGGGAUAAUCUGGCAUGAGGACCCCAUACCUUGCUCUUCAAGAGUGACCAGCGCCGUGCCUGUACCAAAGCGGUUCCAAGCAGUGCAGUUGUAUCGAAGCUGGAAAUCCUGGGCCAGAGUUUCUGAGAGGAUUAGCGAGGAGAGGACCCCUCGGUCACUGUGUACUGUCUGCACGGAAAAACGACCAGAAGAGCCAGAUGACAAGAUCGUGUCUCCAAAUGUCCACACCUGAGGAGAAAGAGAUAGCAAGGUGUAAGACCCUAAUUAUCCACUGAAAGGCCUUCCCACGUACGAUUGGGUCACGGGAGGUCAGUGGUGCUAAGUGCUAAUUGCUCGCCGUUGGAAAGGAGCCUAGGGGGGCGGAAGUCUUCUCUGCAGACCCUGGCAUUAGUGCAGUUCGCCUCUGCACGCUUGAGGGUGGAAAAGGAUGAAGAUGGGAAGAUUGUGUAGUGACACAGUGAGUUUUUUGUUCCGGACACAUCAAGCCGUGGCCCUCAGAGAUGGCUGUUACCAUUAGCACCAGUCAUCCAUUUCGUUGCUUGUGCCUCACACAAGAGAAAGACCAAUGCCACCAAUACCAAGGGGAAAGCAUUGACUCUGCCUGUAAUUUCGUCUGCUGCAAUCUUAAUUACUGUCUAAAGCGCUCCAGCCUGGGUCCUCUGAGUCAACCCACUGCUCUAAUUAAACCUACGACAAUGGCAGUGUGGAAUUUUCCGGAGUGUGAGCAGAUACUUGUGCUCCUUCGCCUCUGGUGCACUGGUACACACGCCGCGGUCACUUGUUAGAAGCCAUUGAUCAUUAGAGCACCCUCUUCCCCUUCCUCUCCUUCCCCCUCUCGACGCCGCCAAACUGUGAUUAAUCCGUUUAGCACUCGCCUCGAUUUUUCAUUCGCCAGCACUCAUCGAAUUAGCCAAUUAAUCCAUAUCUUGUGGCGAUGAAGUAAACGCUCUACUUGUGGAUCAGAUCGGCCCAUACUCAGGAAGGGCUGGGUGGAGGGAUGUAGUCAUGGCAAAAUGAACUGAUUGCCUCAUCAGAACCUUCUGGCUUUUCAGCCUUAGCCUCCCACUCUCUCUCUCUCUCUCUCUCUCUCUCCCUCUCUUUUUCCUUCCUCUCUCGCUUUUUGUUUGCUUUCUCAGGCUCUUUAUGAAAUCUGAUUAAGCAACAGCAGAGAAACACUUACAGCAGAAUAGGCUGAUGCAUUUCACACAUCUACUGGAGCUAAACUUUCAUUUUAGGCAAGCAAUCACUUUAUCCAUUUGCCAAACUCCUGUAAAUGCGCCGUAAACAGAAAUGUCAUCCAUUAACCAUCCAGCUCUGAGCAGAAAAUCAUUUCAUCUUUCCUGUACAGACAGGGGUUAAAUUGGGAUUUUGGAGAUGGGUGAUUCUGGUGCUUUAGAUGAGAUGACAUGAACUUGUUUAAUGAUCUUUUUUUGACAGAAUAAACUUGUUUAAUGGAGAUAGAAUGUGUGUACUGGGUCAAAUAAAAACUGGACUGGGGUAACAAAAGAUUUUCAAACAAAACAUAAGUUUUUCUGAAUCACUCCAACCCAAUCCUUCCAUACCCUAAUGAAAAUCAAUAUGCAUCUAGAACUCAUACAAUGAUUCAAACAGGAUUGCUGUGACAGUUGUUGAACAGAUGGUGUGCCAUAUUUAGGAAGAAGAGAAGAGG
Molecule: long non-coding RNA, 2277 nt
Organism: Onychostoma macrolepis
Lineage: Eukaryota; Metazoa; Chordata; Actinopteri; Cypriniformes; Cyprinidae
Exons: 6
Source: RefSeq, a predicted model, not a curated record